UACAGAGGAUGCAAGCGUUAUCCGGAAUGAUUGGGCGUAAAGCGUCUGUAGGUGGUUUUUUAAGUCCGCCGUCAAAUCCCAGGGCUCAACCCUGGACAGGCGGUGGAAACUACCAAGCUAGAGUAUGGUAGAGGCAGAGAGAAUUUCCGGUGGAGCGGUGAAAUGCGUAGAGAUCGGAAAGAAUACCGACGGCGAAGGCA
RNAcentral lists this ribosomal RNA (200 nucleotides) under uncultured bacterium. RNAcentral describes it as "partial 16S ribosomal RNA". It matches the Rfam family "Bacterial small subunit ribosomal RNA", at positions 524 to 723 of the family's 1533-position model. The record is from RNAcentral.